This 891-nucleotide ribosomal RNA is filed under the name uncultured bacterium. RNAcentral's name for it is "bacterial SSU rRNA". It matches the Rfam family "Bacterial small subunit ribosomal RNA", at positions 8 to 916 of the family's 1533-position model. The record is from RNAcentral.
AGAGUUUGAUCCUGGCUCAGGAUGAACGCUAGCGGCGCGCUUGAUCCAUGCAAGUCGAACGAACCUACAAUCUUCGGAAAGUAGGUUAGUGGCGAACGGGUGAGUAACACGUUGGUGACCUGCCCCUGAGUGGGGGAUAACUAUUCGAAAGGGUAGCUAAUCCCGCAUAAGUUCCGGCAUUCGUUUGCCGGAGGAAAGGCUUCGGCCGCUCGGGGAGGGGCCUGCGUUGGAUUAGCUUGUUGGUGGGGUAACGGCCUACCAAGGCGAUGAUCCAUAGGGGGCGUGAGAGCGUGGCCCCCCACACUGGCACUGAGACACGGGCCAGACUCCUACGGGAGGCAGCAGGAAGGAAUCUUGCGCAAUGGGCGAAAGCCAGACGCAGCGACGCCGCGUGGGUGAUGAAGGCCUUCGGGUUGUAAAGCCCUUUUCCGAGGGAAGAGAAGGGACGGUACCUCGGGAAUAAGCCUCGGCUAACUACGUGCCAGCAGCCGCGGUAAUACGUAGGAGGCGAGCGUUAUCCGGAUUUACUGGGCGUAAAGAGCGCGCAGGCGGUUGUGCAAGUCGUGCGUGAAAGCUCCCGGCUCAACUGGGAGACGUCGUGCGAUACUGCAUAGCUAGAGGUCAGAAGAGGAGAGCGGAAUUCCCGGUGUAGCGGUGAAAUGCGUAGAUAUCGGGAGGAACACCAGUGGCGAAGGCGGCUCUCUGGUCUGCACCUGACGCUGAGGCGCGAAAGCGUGGGUAGCGAUCGGGAUUAGAUACCCCGGUAGUCCACGCCGUAAACGAUGGAUGCUAGGUGUUGGUGGUAUCGACCCCAUCGGCGCCGUAGCUAACGCGUUAAGCAUCCCGCCUGAGGAUUACGGCCGCAAGGCUAAAACUCAAAUGAAUUGACGG